AAAGUCGUGAAGUUGCCACUCAGUGACUACAUCCUUGGCUGGAGGCGGGGCCCCGCUUCCUGCUGAUGUGCUGCAGCUGUGCGUGACCAGACCACAGGACCGAGCGGGUGGGGUGCUGAAGGGCGGGAAGGGGCUUCAGGAAGAACGCUCAGUUGGAGCAAAGGCUCCCAACCAGUGCUGACAUCGUCAAAAGUUGGCUUGGCACGAAGCAGGCAGGGUCAGUCAGGCAAGGGAUAGGGGCUGUGAUUAUUGGGCUGGGGAGCUCGGCUCUUGCCAUUACAGUUUUUGAAACAAAUUUGCGUCAGUUACCAGCAUUUAAAGUUUGGGGAAUAGGAAUCUAAUAGUACAAACUAUUCCAGAAGAGGAUUUUGAGCGUGGGGCGCACUGGGACACUGGAUGUUC
This 402-nucleotide long non-coding RNA is filed under the name Bos taurus (domestic cattle). RNAcentral's name for it is "long non-coding RNA NONBTAT009558". Lineage: Eukaryota; Metazoa; Chordata; Mammalia; Artiodactyla; Bovidae. The record is from RNAcentral.